Molecule: ribosomal RNA, 406 nt
Filed under: uncultured bacterium
Lineage: Bacteria
Description: partial 16S ribosomal RNA
Rfam family: Bacterial small subunit ribosomal RNA
Source: RNAcentral
AUUGAACGCUGGCGGCAGGCCUAACACAUGCAAGUCGAGCGAGCGGCGGACGGGUGAGUAAUGUCUGGGAAACUGCCUGAUGGAGGGGGAUAACUACUGGAAACGGUAGCUAAUACCGCAUACCAUCAGAUGUGCCCAGAUGGGAUUAGCUAAUAGGUGGGGUAAUGGCUCACCUAGGCGACGAUCCCUAGCUGGUCUGAGAGGAUGACCAGCCACACUGAAACUGAGUCACAGUCCAGAAUCCUACGGGAGAAAGCGGUGGGGAAUAUUGCACAAUGGGCGCAAGCGUGGUGCCACCGUGCCGCGUGUGUGAAGAAGGCCAUCGGGUUGUAAAGCACUUUCAGCGAGGAGGGGUUACUCGCAGAAGGAGCACCGGCAAGCUCCAUACCAGCAGCCGCGGUAAUUC